AUGUCACGGUUGAGUCCUCCAAGAAACCGUGCCAUAGUAGCUUUGCUAUCCUCAGAGAUACAAUCCCUCAACAUCAAUAACCCCAUCUCUUGAUAAUAUUCUUCCACUGUUUGUGAUCCUUGAGUAAUUCUUCUUAUCCUUUGAUGUAGCUCACGAUGAUAGUGGUUUGGGACAAAUCUUUGCGCAUAAGGGACUUCAUCUCAGCCCAUGUCUCAACCGGGAACUCAUGAUUGUGCCUCCUGUUUUUAAUCAACUGAUCCCGCCAACUCAAGGCGUAGUCAUAGAAUUCAGUAGCAGCAACUUUGAUCUUCUUAGCUUUUGUGUACUGCUGGCAAUUGAACACGAGCUCAAUCUUCUUUUCCCAUUCCAAGUAAGCAUUAGGGUCUGCUUUGCCAUGGAAAGGAAGUAUUUUGAGCUUUAAACCAGCAAGCUCAUCUCUUUGAUAACCUCGGUCUUCAUGGUCGCGCGUGUUGAGAUGAGAUCAAUAUAUGGGAAGAGAAAGACAUGAGGAGUUGAGUAUGAUGAAGAGGUCGUACAUGGCGUAGUAAUACUAGUUAUACUAGUUGUACUAGUUACCCGGGUAACUUUGGAUGAAGAAGAGAGCCCUAUUCCCUUUGCUAAGGCAUCAGACCAUUGCAAGGGAAGAGGAGGCACGUGUGAGAGGCUGGAGAAGAGCUGGAUAAAGCAAAAGGAGCUUUAUGCACAAGGAAGAAGCUCAUUGGAUGGUUUGAAUUAAAGGAAACCUUAUCUCUUGUAAUAGUGCCUCUUUAUGAAACCCUCAUCCUAAUGUUGCCUCCUCAUAUAUAUUUUAAACUCUGAUCAGAUUAAUAAUUAAGAAGUUUGGGAUUAU
Molecule: long non-coding RNA, 850 nt
Filed under: Brassica napus (rape)
Lineage: Eukaryota; Viridiplantae; Streptophyta; Magnoliopsida; Brassicales; Brassicaceae
Description: long non-coding RNA (BNAP_LNC014026)
Source: RNAcentral